GGAGAGGUGUCCGAGAGGUCGAAGGUGACAGACUCGAAAUCUGUUGUACCGCAAGGUACCGUGGGUUCGAAUCCCACCCUCUCCGCCA
RNAcentral lists this transfer RNA (88 nucleotides) under Desulfuromonas sp. Its description in RNAcentral is "tRNA-Ser". It matches the Rfam family "tRNA". Rfam says of the family: Transfer RNA (tRNA) molecules are approximately 80 nucleotides in length. Their secondary structure includes four short double-helical elements and three loops (D, anti-codon, and T loops). Lineage: Bacteria; Pseudomonadati; Thermodesulfobacteriota; Desulfuromonadia; Desulfuromonadales; Desulfuromonadaceae. RNAcentral also lists the same sequence under 1 other name. The record is from RNAcentral.